RNAcentral lists this long non-coding RNA (5781 nucleotides) under Canis lupus familiaris (dog). RNAcentral describes it as "lncRNA (ENSCAFG00845023962.1)". The record is from RNAcentral. Lineage: Eukaryota; Metazoa; Chordata; Mammalia; Carnivora; Canidae.
AUGAGGCGGUGCUGUCUAGGUGACUGUGAGGGUCCCCUGCAGCCAUGCACGCCAGCCCCCGGCUCCCGGAGCACAGUACGUGGGGUCAUUAAGUGCCGGUACUGCAGGAGGGGAAGGGGACCGCGGAGCAAAGUGGCCCGGAGCCUCCGAACCCAGUACAGACCCUCUCCCACGCACCCCCUUCCCGGCCCGGAGGAACCCUACCGACCUGCCCCCGGGGGUUGCAAAACCCGGAGCGGAUUCUCGGAAUGGGUUCUGGGAGGAGCGCUCCCGGAGGGAGGAGGAAAACCCGGGCAGGAUCCGCGGCAGGAGCGGGGCCCCACGGCCCCUCGGCCCCCAGCCCUGCCCCGCGCGCCCGGCGGGCCCAGGGGGUUUGAAGCCCCGCUGCGCCGCGGGGAAGGAGCCGGGCCGGGCCCCGCGGGCCGCCCGGGGCCCGGGGCUCGGGGGCCGGGGGGGGGGGCGCGCGGCCUCCGCACUGGGGCGCGGGUCACGUGUGAGGAGGGGCGAAAGUCUCGCAAAGCGGGGCGGCGUGCCGCGAGUUGGGAGUUCUCGGCGCGCCGCGGGCGGCGGGAGCUCGGGCUCCCGGGCGAGCCGGGGACGCGGCGGAGGCGCGGGCCUGGGUCCGAGACAGCGGGGGCCGCACCGAGAGUGGGAGGGAGGGAGAGACACGCAGAAGGACAGACGGCGCCCGGGAGGAGGACAGAGAGAGACGCGCAGGGGAGACCGAGACAGGGCAGAGGCGGAGGGAGGCAGGGGAGGCUCUGGGAGGGCGGCGGGCAGCAGACCGAGCCCCCGCCGGGAGACACGGGAGGCGGGCUCGGGGACCGAGGGGCGGACGGACAGACGCACGGAGACCCCGGGGGCAGCCCGGCGGGCGGCGGCGGGUCCCGGGCCGGCCGGCCGGCCGAGGGCUUCCCGGGGCCGGGGCGGGGAGCGGGGAGCGGGGAGCGGGGAGCGGAGCGCGGGGCGGGGAGCGGAGCGCGGGGCGGGGAGCGGCGCGGAGAGACAGCGCGACGGCAGCGGGGGGGCGGCGGAGGGCCGGCGGCUGCGGCGGGGGCGGGGGGCGCGAGCGCGGGCGGCCGAGGCCAUGGGCCCCCGGAUCCCCGCGCCCUGAGCCGGGCCCGGCCCGACGAUGCUGACGCCCAGGCGGCGCCGGGGGCGCGGCGCGGGGCAGCGCUGAAAGUUGAGCGGCCCGCGGGGAGCGGCGCGGGACGGCCCCGAGGCGCGGAGACCCGGACACCGACGGACAGACCCACCGGCAGCCGGGGAGGGGGGCGGGGCCGGCCGGCCGAGUGCGCGGGGAGGGGGCGCCGGGACUCCCCUCUCCCCGCCCGGGACGCCGCCCGCCCGCCCGCGCCGUGGGAUGUAGAGCCCGCUCGCCGCCUUCUGGACCUUCGUCGGACCCUCCGCCCCGCGGCCCUGCGUCUUCCCAGGUGACCACGCCGGCCUCAGGACAUGCACGGACACAGCCGCAACGGGCAGGCCCACGUGCCCCGGCGGAAACGCCGCAACCGCUUCGUCAAGAAGAACGGCCAAUGCAACGUCUACUUCGCCAACCUGAGCAACAAGUCGCAGCGCUACAUGGCGGACAUCUUCACCACCUGCGUGGACACGCGCUGGCGCUACAUGCUCAUGAUCUUCUCCGCGGCCUUCCUCGUCUCCUGGCUCUUCUUUGGCCUCCUCUUCUGGUGUAUCGCCUUCUUCCACGGCGACCUGGAGGCUGGCCCGGCGGCGGCGGCGGCAGCGGCGGCGGCGGGGGCCCCGACGGGCAGUGGCGCGGCGGCCCCGACGGCCCCCAAGCCCUGCAUCAUGCACGUGAACGGCUUCCUGGGCGCCUUCCUGUUCUCGGUGGAGACGCAGACGACCAUCGGCUACGGGUUCCGGUGCGUGACGGAGGAGUGCCCGCUGGCGGUCAUCGCCGUGGUGGUCCAGUCCAUCGUGGGCUGCGUCAUCGACUCCUUCAUGAUCGGCACCAUAAUGGCCAAGAUGGCCCGGCCCAAGAAGCGGGCGCAGACGCUGCUGUUCAGCCACCACGCGGUCAUCUCGGUGCGCGACGGCAAGCUCUGCCUGAUGUGGCGCGUGGGCAACCUGCGCAAGAGCCACAUCGUGGAGGCCCACGUGCGGGCCCAGCUCAUCAAGCCCUACAUGACCCAGGAGGGCGAGUACCUGCCGCUGGACCAGCGGGACCUCAACGUGGGCUACGACAUCGGCCUGGACCGCAUCUUCCUGGUGUCGCCCAUCAUCAUCGUCCACGAGAUCGACGAGGACAGCCCGCUCUAUGGCAUGGGCAAGGAGGAGCUGGAGUCGGAGGACUUUGAGAUCGUGGUCAUCCUCGAGGGCAUGGUGGAGGCCACCGCCAUGACCACCCAGGCCCGCAGCUCCUACCUGGCCAGCGAGAUCCUGUGGGGCCACCGCUUCGAGCCCGUGGUCUUCGAGGAGAAGAGCCACUACAAGGUGGACUACUCGCGCUUCCACAAGACCUACGAGGUGGCCGGCACGCCCUGCUGCUCCGCCCGGGAGCUUCAGGAGAGCAAGAUCACCGUGCUGCCUGCCCCGCCGCCCCCGCCCAGUGCCUUCUGCUACGAGAAUGAGCUGGCCCUCAUGAGCCAGGAGGAAGAGGAGAUGGAGGAGGAGGCGGCAGCCGCUGCUGCCGUGGCCGCAGGCCUGGGCCUGGAGGCGGGCUCCAAGGAGGAGGCGGGCAUCAUCCGAAUGCUGGAGUUUGGCAGCCACCUGGAUCUGGAGCGCAUGCAAGCCACCCUCCCUCUGGACAACAUCUCCUACCGCAGGGAGUCUGCCAUCUGACCUCCAGGCCCCGCCCUCGUCACUUCCCACAAGAGCCUCUGCCGGGGGGUGGGAUGCCAGGACACCCCCUCCACACUCAGGACAGAGCUGACCCUGGCCCCAUGGACCUCCUGGAGGGAGGUGGGGGCUUCAAAGACUGGGGAACCCCUUCCUAUUGACUCCAGAGCCCAGGCCUGGGAAGGGCCCAGGAUCCCCUCUGCCCUGUCAGCCUACCUACUGGCAUCUCGGGGACCCCAGACCCACCACCCUUUUCCCACUGACACUUCAAGGACGUGCCCCCUUUACUCUCAGAACCUUGGGGAAGGCGGCUGGACUGCUGGGGGGUGGGCAUCAUGGGGUUCUGGGGUGGGCAGGGGUUAGUGUGGGGGGAGGGAGGGCGGGGGUGCGUUUCUUUUGCAUGACUGUGACCUGUUGCUCUUGACUUUCUUUUGUAAAUAUCUAUAAAUGGAGAGAUGGAGGCACCAAAUCCACCUUCUGCCAUUUGUACCUGCAGGAUGAGGAGGUGCGGUCCCUCUCUGUGAACCCCUCCCCCUCCCGGCCCAGUGAGCCUAGCCCCUUCCCCCCCCCCCCCCACCCAGCUGGCUGGUCCCCAAAGCCAGCCAUCCUGGCCCCUGGAUGGUGUUGGGUUUGGGUGCAGAGGUGGGGCCCCAAGAGGCAGGACGAGGACCAUCCCCUCCCUGUGGUCCCUCCGGAUCCCCGGGGUCCAGCCCAGAUUGACAAUGGAGUUUGUAACUAUAUAUUUUUAAUAAAGUAUAUGGUCCAUUAGGGGUAGGCUGAUUGAAGAUGACAAGCGGAAGAGAAGAGAUAGAGUGAGAGAGAGAGACCAACAUGAUGUGAGUGUGUCUGUGUGUGGUACGUAUGUGUCCCUUUCUGAGACACUGACCCUUGGAGGGGACUUUACCGCCUGCCAUUCUCCUUCCUGGGAUCCAAUGGGAGAGAUCCCCAGCAGGCUUCAGAGGACCUGGGCUUUGCUACUUAACAGCUGUAUGGCUGCCAGCAAGUUGCCCAUCUGCUCUUGGCCUCAGUUUCACCAUCCGUAGAAUGGGAUGAGCCACUGCUCCCUCCUGAGAGAUGAUGGGCAGGAAAGCCCUGUGUGGAUGUCAGCUAACCCUCUGUAACCAGGGGGAAGUGGGGAAGGCCUGCCUGGUUACAUCUACACACAGGCACACACUCCAGGCUGGGCUGAUGAAUUUGCCCUCAGGACACUGGUGGGACGCUGGGAAACCUGGUCCUAGUCAGACUUGGUCUCCAUUUCACUGUAGGUGGGACUUGGGGUGAGUCCCUCCAUUUCUCUGGGCUUCAGUUAGCCUGUGCUGUGCAACAAGCCACUCUGAAACCUAGACCACAGUGCCAUAUUCUUUCUGGAGCUUCUGUGGGUGGAUUUGCCUGGUUUCUCUGGGCUCCCUCCAACAGCCAUGGAAUGUCAGGUAGGCUGUACCAUCCAAGAUGGCCCCACCCAUCAGGUAGUUGGUCUGGCUGUCAGCCCGGGCCUCCCUUCUUCCAAAUUCCUUCAUGGCAUCUCAGGGCAGCAACCUAAGAGGCACAAGGCAGAAGCUACAAGGUCUCUUGAGCCAGGCUUCGAACUUGACAUCAUCUCCACUGCAUUCUAUUGGCCAAUGAGGUCACGAAGGCAGCCCAGAUUCAAAGGGUGGGAAAUCUCCAGCCUUUGGAAGCAUGGUAGAGCCACAUGGCAAAGGGUGUCCACACUGGGGCGGCAUGUGGCCAUACUUGGUAGUCGAUCACAGAACAUUUCAAUUUUGAGAGCUACUCCAGCUCUACCUGUAGUCUAGGUGCCAGCUGUGUACCCAACAGUCAAGGUGUAAGGAAGCAGAGGGAACCCUCGCUGUUCCCAGGAAUCUUCUAGGUAAAAGGUGCCACUACCUCAGGAAACACAGGCAACUAGCAGGCAAGCUCACCUACUGUGAAGUGCUGUGAGCUGCUUUGUGCAUUCACCACUUCACCAGCAUUGGCAACGUGGCUGCCAUUCAGGUAAAACAUUGUGCAUCCAACGUGCUUUAACAGUUUUUUUUUUUUUUAAGAUUUUAUCAAUCUAUUCAUGUGAAACACAAAGAGGGAGGCAGAGACAUAGGCAGAGACAGAAGCCGGUUCCCCACAGGGAGCCCGAUGGAGGACUCGAUCCCAGGACCCCGGGGCCAUGACCUGAACCAAAGGCAGACAGACGCUCAACCACAGAGCCACCCAGGUGCCCCUGCUUUAACAGUUUAACAAGAGAACCUGAGGCCUCUGUCCUGGAGAAAGAAGCUAGCCUGGGGUCCAAAUCCCUCAACAAAUAACUUGUCCUAAUGCCUCCCUUCACAUAACACCCUUCACAUCCCUUUAUUCACCGAACUCAUACCAAAUGCCAAGAAACAGGUAGACAAGGAUUGUGGUCUCCAUCUUCCUGGAGACCUGGGAACUAAGGGGCUGACUUGAACCAAGGUGGAGCCUGGCAGAGGCUAGGAGGCCUGCUUCCCUUUCAAUCACGCUCUCCCAGGCAGGGGCUAUGUGAGAGGCAGGGCUGCCCCCACCCAGACUCCCCAGAGUGCACCUGUGGCCUUCAGGGGCCCCUGAAGGGCCUUCGGGAACCACUCGGCAAGAUAAAACUCAGUUUCCUAGCUGCCCAAGCUCUCAGAGGGGCCUUUGGUGCCCUUGGGCCAGGCGAGAGCACCCCGGGUCUCACGUCCCACACAACUGGUCAGAGAUGUCCCACCAUCCAGUCCUCCCCACCUUCAUCGCCUCUGGCCAACCUCAUUCCCAGUGAUGCUUUGUUUGGCGCCUGGGUGACCAGCAGUAACUAGAGACCUCAGACUCAGGCACCCUUGGACUCAGAAUCUUUGACCAGGAAUGCAUCUUAGAGGUUAACCCGAGGGUAUGACCUGGAGGAGACAGGAUAGGCAAGUUCUGACAAGGGCUGGAAAAGCAAGGACUUUCUGGGGUGCCAGGGAGGAGUGCAGGCCUGGGCACUGGAGGGCGGGCGGG